GGACGAACGCUGGCGGCGUGCCUAAUACAUGCAAGUCGAACGGUCUUUCUAUGGAAGCUUGCUUCCACUGGGAAGAGUAGUGGCGGACGGGUGAGUAACACGUGGGUAACCUGCCCAUAAGAGGGGGGAUAACAUCCGGAAACGGGUGCUAAUACCGCAUAGUUUUCUUGAUCGCAUGGUCGAGAAAGGAAAGACGGCCUUUGUGCUGUCGCUUAUGGAUGGACCCGCGGCGUAUUAGUUAGUUGGUGAGGUAACGGCUCACCAAGACGAUGAUACGUAGCCGACCUGAGAGGGUGAUCGGCCACAUUGGGACUGAGACACGGCCCAAACUCCUACGGGAGGCAGCAGUAGGGAAUCUUCCGCAAUGGACGAAAGUCUGACGGAGCAACGCCGCGUGAGUGAAGUAAAGGUUUUCGGAUCGUAAAACUCUGUUGUCAGAGAAGAACAAGUCGGAGAGUAACUGCUCCGGCCUUGACGGUAUCUGACCAGAAAGCCACGGCUAACUACGUGCCAGCCGCAGC
Molecule: ribosomal RNA, 521 nt
Filed under: uncultured bacterium
Lineage: Bacteria
Description: bacterial SSU rRNA
Rfam family: Bacterial small subunit ribosomal RNA
Source: RNAcentral